GAUGAACGCUGGCGGCGUGCUUAACACAUGCAAGUCGAACGGGAAACCUUUUAUUGAAGCUUCGGCAGAUUUAGCUGGCUUCUAGUGGCGGCCGGGUGAGUAACGCGUGGGUAACCUGCCUUAUACAGGGGGAUAACAACCAGAAAUGGUUGCUAAUACCGCAUAACCGCACCGGACCGCAUUGUCCGGUGUGCAAAACUCCGGUGGUAUAAGAUGGACCCGCGUUGGAUUAGAUAGUUGGCAGGGUAACGGCCUACCAAGGCGACGAUCCAUAGCCGGCCUGAGAGGGUGAACGGCCACAUUGGGACUGAGACACGGCCCAGACUCCUACGGGAGGCAGCAGUGGGGAAUAUUGCACAAUGGGGGAAACCCUGAUGCAGCGACGCCGCGUGAAGGAAGAAGUAUCUCGGUAUGUAAACUUCUAUUAGCAGGGAAGAUAGUGACGGUACCUGACGAAGAAGCCCCGGCUAACUACGUG
Molecule: ribosomal RNA, 478 nt
Filed under: uncultured bacterium
Lineage: Bacteria
Description: partial 16S ribosomal RNA
Rfam family: Bacterial small subunit ribosomal RNA
Source: RNAcentral